Molecule: long non-coding RNA, 4425 nt
Filed under: Citrus maxima (pomelo)
Lineage: Eukaryota; Viridiplantae; Streptophyta; Magnoliopsida; Sapindales; Rutaceae
Description: long non-coding RNA (CMAX_LNC001174)
Source: RNAcentral
AGGAUAUUUAGCAGCUUAUUUAGGCAACUGCCAGAAUUCAGUUUGUUUGCUCGAAACUUGUAUGGUGACAAGGAUACUGGCAAGGAUAGUGAGAUAGUUUUUUGUGUGAGUGAAAUUUGAAAGCUUGGGUGUUCUGGGAUUUGCAAUUGCAAUCAUCCUCUGAGUCAGGUGAUUUCUUCUCCUGCUCUGUCUUGAUUUUCUCUCUAAUUGAAAGCAUAAAGUAUUUCAAUCAAAUUCUGUACCAGGAGUACAUAAAAGUUACUAAUAUUUUAUUUCCAUCUGUUUGCAUUGAUAACUCGGCAUAUGUUCUAGUUAAAGAACAAACAGAAACAGAGUUCAGGAAAAAGUUUCUUCGGCCACCAUAUUUGAAAAUGAAACCAUUUCCAGGAAGCAGUUGGCAGCAAAUUCAUAUGGAGUGUAGACAAUGAUGAGCAAAAAGGUGAUUCGCAAUUUCUUUUUUUUUUAAGUGAAAUUAUUUGUUAGAUUGAAGCUGAUAUUGUAAGAAGGCCAUUGAGCUAACCUAUGUCGUCACUUGCCUAGAUUGCAGGGGGUCAAGACUCAAAAGAAGCACUGAAAUUUAAAAAGCAUGGAAUAGUUCUUUUGCCAUGUGUCAAUUAAUGCAAGUUUGAAUAAGUUUAUUGGCUGAACGAUGUUAGCUUCUUUUCCUUUCGUGCACUUUGGUAUGCUAUCAAGUGACAGCCGUAUGUAUGGCUUGCAUAUAGCUGCUGCUGGGAAAAUUGACGAUUUCAUGGCUGGCCGUGUUAUUGUCUUAAAUUAGUUGUGAUAAGCUGUUGCUUGGAGAUUCUGUUGCCAAGACUUUGCUCACAUCAGAAGCUGUGGAAUCUGAACCCUUCGUUAUGUAUCAUCUUUUUCAUUGUUUUAAAACUCUCAGGAUUAAACUUGAGCGAAUUUGUUCGGUUGUCUAUAUAAUCAUGUAUUGAGUAAACUCUCAGGAUACUGAGGGUGAGAGAAAUUAGAGGGUGUAUAGGGAUUUGGAUUUGUUAGGAAGUUAUCAUUUUUAUUUUUAUUUUUAUUUUUUUCCCAGAAAAUCUUCUGGUGGUGCUAUAUUUUCAAACGACAGUCCGAUUCAAAACUUGAUAUUCCAAUUAUAUUCAUAAGCUUCUACAGUUAUCUUCAAAAAGACAAAUGGAAGGCUUUGAACGGCUUGGGUCUGAGUAUUGUAGUUUGAUUUAUUUUGAUGAAAGUACCUUUUGACAUUGAGAUUCUUUCAUGAGUUAAACAUUCUUUUUAAAACCAACUUAUUAAAAAAAAAAAGUAACUAACAUAUAUUAUUUUGUUAGUGCUUUUUAAAUCAAAUAUAAAAAAGAGAACUGUAAUUCUUAGCAACCAAUUUUUCACUGAGUACACCUACAACAAACUAUUAAAAAAUAAAGUGAUAGAAAAUGCCUGAUUUUUCGUACUUUCUAAUUACUUUUGGUCCUAAAAUAUGGCAAUUUGUGUAAUAAUAAGCCCAUGUAUAUCUUUAUGCCAUUAGUUUGAUAAAUAGCUAUCAAGGAUAACUUAUUAAGCUAAAAAUAUUUGAAGGAUAAAUUGAUUUAUGCAUCCAAAGAUACAUUAUAUAUUUCUGUGUCUCUAUUUAUAGAUGACAUUUAAGCAUCCAUAAACCGUCAGACAGAGGAAGGGGGUUCAGUGCAAAGAUUCUGUUGACCUAGGGUUGACUGCAUAAUGUCACUUGUUCGCAAUCUAUUAUUUAUUUUAUAUUUUGAAGAAUUUAAUGGGUAAUCCUAAUUGUUUGUUUUGGCAGGUAUGUGUUGUUAUCUCCUUCUAUCUAACAGUCGUACCUAAAUAGCAUAGUUUCAUCUGUGUUACCAUGUGAUGUACAUAAUUUCACAUUUGCCUCAGAUUAAGCUUAAUUUCCCACAGAAUAGAGCUGUCGUGACUGGACUUAGGUUGAUGUCCAAAGAGGUAAAUUAUUGGCAUGCCUAGAUAAUUUGGCCAUUUCCUAAUUCAUAAGUCUACAUUAAUUUUGAUUUUGAGUUGACUGAUUUCUUUUCAAGGUCUGCUUCCUUAACGGAGUGACCAAUGUUUUUCAACUAAAUUUAUCAUAUGAUGCAGGAAGCAGGGCAGGAUAUGAAAUGAGAUCUCAUUGGUGGAAGUAUUGCCAGUAGCAGAACCCAAUGAAAAUGAAACUAUUUCAAGGCAGCAGUUGGCAGUUGCAAGUGAAUGGAGGCCCUUGACAAAAUUCUCAAGCGGUUGCAAUGAUGGUAAUUUCUUCUCCUGCUUUGUAUUUAUUUGUUAUCUAAUUAGGAAGCGUGAAGUAUCUUGAAUCAUUUUCUGUAUCUGGAAUAUAUGCAAGAGUUUCUAAAAUUUUGAUAUGAGUGUAAUGAUGGUAAUUUCUGUUUUCUGUCUGUCAUCAAAUGUUAGAAAACUUUCAUUGAGACCCUUGAACCGAGUCAUUUUUGACAAGUGAAGGACAAUUGCUGAAGAGUGGGAAUGGUGCUAGAUUGGGGAAUAAAGACAAAGGAGGUAAAUUAUUUGCAGUUUAUUCAGCAUUAUUUGCUUUGGACCACCGCCUGAUUCACAAGUCUCCAUAAUUUGGCUUUUGACCAGUUAAUAAAUUUUUAAUUCCAUUGGUGCUAAAUGUACACGUGAAGCAGGCAGAGCAGGACUGUGGAAAUGAGAAGGUUUUUAGUGAAAGCUUAAACUCAGGUAAUUCUAAAAAGUACAUGUUUUUGCUGAUUUAUCUAAAUCAGGAAAUUUUAUUUCCAUCUGUUACAAGAUAAAACAGAAACAGAACACAAAGAAAAAUAUUCUACUUCUUGUGGCAAUCUUGCCUUCAUUCAGACAAUGAAACCAUUUCCUUUCACCAAUUUCUUCCAAAAGUUUGAAUAAGUUUCAUGGUUGGACAUAGUUAGCUUCUUUUUCUUUUUGGUGCAUUUAGGUCCUAUCAAGUGACAGCCAUAAGUAUGAUUGCAUUAUUGGGAAAUUUUAGGUUUGGAUGGCUCCCCAUGUUAUUGCCAAGAAAGUCCUCAUGUCAGAAGCUGCGGUUCUUUUCAUCAGCCUGAACCCGAACCUGUCGUUAUGGAUAACUCAGGUUUUUGUCAUCAACUAUAUCAUCUUUUUUACUGUUUUGAAACUCUUAAGAUUAAACUUCAGUAAAGUUGUUUCAGUUAUCCAUGUAAUCAGGCUAAGGAUAUUUAGCAGCUUAUUUAGGCAACUGCCAGAAUUCAGUUUGUUUGCUCGAAACUUGUAUGGUGACAAGGAUACUGGCAAGGAUAGUGAGAUAGUUUUUUGUGUGAGUGAAAUUUGAAAGCUUGGGUGUUCUGGGAUUUGCAAUUGCAAUCAUCCUCUGAGUCAGGUGAUUUCUUCUCCUGCUCUGUCUUGAUUUUCUCUCUAAUUGAAAGCAUAAAGUAUUUCAAUCAAAUUCUGUACCAGGAAUACGUAAAAGUUACUAAUAUUUUAUUUCCAUCUGUUUGCAUUGAUAACUCGGCGGCAUAUGUUCUAGUUAAAGAACAAACAGAAACAGAGUUCAGGAAAAAGUUUCUUCGGCCACCAUAUUUGAAAAUGAAACCAUUUCCAGGAAGCAGUUGGCAGCAAAUUCAUAUGGAGUGUAGACAAUGAUGAGCGAAAAGGUGAUACGCAAUUUCUUUUUUUUUUUUUUUAAGUGAAAUUAUUUGUUAGAUUGAAGCUGAUAUUGUAAGAAGGCCAUUGAGCUAACCUAUGUCGCCACUUGCCUAGAUUGCAGGGGGUCAAGACUCAAAAGAAGCACUGAAAUUUAAAAAAGCAUGCAAUAGUUCUUUUGCCAUGUGUCAAUUAAUGCAAGUUUGAAUAAGUUUAUUGGCUGAACGAUGUUAGCUUCUUUUCCUUUCGUGCACUUUGGUAUGCUAUCAAGUGACAGCCGUAUGUAUGGCUUGCGUAUAGCUGCUGCUGGGAAAAUUGACGAUUUCAUGGCUGGCCGUGUUAUUGUCUUAAAUUAGUUGUGAUAAGCUGUUGCUUGGAGAUUCUGUUGCCAAGACUUUGCUCACAUCAGAAGCUGUGGAAUCUGAACCCUUCGUUAUGUAUCAUCUUUUUCAUUGUUUUAAAACUCUCAGGAUUAAACUUGAGCGAAUUUGUUCGGUUGUCUAUAUAAUCAUGUAUUGAGUAACCUCUCAGGAUACUGAGCAGGCAAAUGUUAUAACUCGGUUUGUUAGCCAAAAACUUGUUGAAGAUUCUUGACAAAGCUGCAUCAAGUGAAUUGUCGGAGCUCUGAGGGUGAGAGAAAUUAGAGGGUGUAUAGGGAUUUGGAUUUGUUAGGAAGUUAUCAUUUUUAUUUUUAUUUUUAUUUUUUUCACAGAAAAUCUUCUGGUGGUGCUAUAUUUUCAAACGACAGUCCGAUUCAAAACUUGAUAUUCCAAUUAUAUUCAUAAGCUUCUACAGUUAUCUUCAAAAAGACAAAUGGAAGGCUUUGAACGGCUUGGGUCUGAG